RNAcentral lists this ribosomal RNA (464 nucleotides) under uncultured bacterium. RNAcentral describes it as "partial 16S ribosomal RNA". It matches the Rfam family "Bacterial small subunit ribosomal RNA", at positions 28 to 506 of the family's 1533-position model. The record is from RNAcentral.
GACGAACGCUGGCGGCGUGCUUAACACAUGCAAGUCGAACGGAAAGGCCCUGCUUGCAGGGUACUCGAGUGGCGAACGGGUGAGUAACACGUGGGUGAUCUGCCCUGCACUUCGGGAUAAGCCUGGGAAACUGGGUCUAAUACCGGAUAGGAGCCAUUUUUAGUGUGAUGGUUGGAAAGUUUUUUCGGUGUAGGAUGAGCUCGCGGCCUAUCAGCUUGUUGGUGGGGUAAUGGCCUACCAAGGCGGCGACGGGUAGCCGGCCUGAGAGGGUGGACGGCCACAUUGGGGAUGGGGUACGGCCCCGACUCCUCCGGGAGGCAGGAGGGGGGAAUAUUGCACAAGGGGCGCAAGCCUGAUGCAGCGACGCCGGGUGGGGGAUGACGGCCUUCGGGUUGUAAACUCCUUUCCCCAGGGAAGAAGCUUUUUGGGACGGUACCUAGAUAAGAAGCACCGGCUAACUACGU